GAACGCACAUUGCGCCCCUUGGUAUUCCGAGGGGCAUGCCUGUUCGAGCGUCAUUAUCACCCCUCAAGCCUAGCUUGGUGUUGGGGCCCGCCCGUCAGGGCAGCCCUUAAAAUCAGUGGCGGCGCCGUCAGGCUCUAAGCGUAGUAAUACUCCUCGCUAUAGAGCCCUGGCGGACUCUUGCCAAAACCCCUAAUUUUUUAUGAUUGACCUCGGAUCAGGUAGGGUUACCCGCUGAACUUAAG
Molecule: unclassified non-coding RNA, 242 nt
Filed under: uncultured Helotiales
Lineage: Eukaryota; Fungi; Ascomycota; Leotiomycetes; Helotiales
Description: sequence contains 5.8S rRNA gene
Rfam family: 5.8S ribosomal RNA (bases 1-53)
Source: RNAcentral